GAGACCCGUACCCACAGUUGCCAGCGGCUGCUCCGGCAGGCUGGGUACACUAUGGGGACCGCCUCUGCUAAAGAGGAGGAAGGAGCGGGCAACGGUAGGUCAGUAUGCCCCGAAUAUCCCGGGCUACACGCGAGCUACAAUGGUUGGUACAAUGGGUAUCUACCCCGAAAGGGGAUGGAAAUCUCCUAAAGCCAAUCUUAGUCCGGAUUGAGGGCUGCAACUCGCCCUCAUGAAGCUGGAAUCCGUAGUAAUCGCGUUUCAACAGAACGCGGUGAAUAC
RNAcentral lists this ribosomal RNA (279 nucleotides) under uncultured archaeon. Its description in RNAcentral is "partial 16S rRNA". It matches the Rfam family "Archaeal small subunit ribosomal RNA", at positions 1047 to 1325 of the family's 1478-position model. The record is from RNAcentral.